RNAcentral lists this transfer RNA (89 nucleotides) under Felis catus (domestic cat). It matches the Rfam family "tRNA". Rfam says of the family: Transfer RNA (tRNA) molecules are approximately 80 nucleotides in length. Their secondary structure includes four short double-helical elements and three loops (D, anti-codon, and T loops). Lineage: Eukaryota; Metazoa; Chordata; Mammalia; Carnivora; Felidae. The record is from Rfam by way of RNAcentral.
GCCUGGGUGGCUCAGUCGGUUGAGUGACUGACUUCGGCUCAGGUCAUGCAUGAUCUAGCGGUCCGUGAGUUCGAGCCCCGCAUCAGGCU